Molecule: ribosomal RNA, 253 nt
Filed under: uncultured bacterium
Lineage: Bacteria
Description: partial 16S ribosomal RNA
Rfam family: Bacterial small subunit ribosomal RNA
Source: RNAcentral
UACAGAGGUCCCGAGCGUUGUUCGGAUUCAUUGGGCGUAAAGGGUGCGUAGGCGGCGGGGCAAGUCUGAUGUGAAAUCCCGGGGCUCAACCCCGGAACUGCAUUGGAUACUGCCUUGCUAGAGUACUGGAGAGGGAACUGGAAUUUACGGUGUAGCAGUGAAAUGCGUAGAGAUCGUAAGGAAGGCCAGUGGCGAAGGCGAGUUCCUGGACAGUGACUGACGCUGAGGCACGAAGGCCAGGGGAGCAAACAGG